This 167-nucleotide ribosomal RNA is filed under the name uncultured bacterium. RNAcentral's name for it is "partial 16S ribosomal RNA". It matches the Rfam family "Bacterial small subunit ribosomal RNA", at positions 1334 to 1500 of the family's 1533-position model. The record is from RNAcentral.
GCUAGUAAUCGCGGAUCAGAAUGCCGCGGUGAAUACGUUCCCGGGUCUUGUACACACCGCCCGUCACACCAUGGGAGUCGGAAAUGCCCGAAGUCUGUGACCCAACCUUAGGGAGGGAGCAGCCGAAGGCAGGUCGGAUGACUGGGGUGAAGUCGUAACAAGGUACC